GAGAUUUUGAUGUCGCAGAUACUGCAUCAGGAACUGAUUGGAUAAUAAUCAGCCACCAUCAGUUCCUAAUGCAUUGCCUUCAGCAUCUAAACA
RNAcentral lists this microRNA precursor (93 nucleotides) under Pelodiscus sinensis (Chinese soft-shelled turtle). RNAcentral describes it as "mir-217 microRNA precursor family". It matches the Rfam family "mir-217 microRNA precursor family". Lineage: Eukaryota; Metazoa; Chordata; Testudines; Trionychidae. The record is from Rfam by way of RNAcentral.